This is a non-coding RNA of Candidatus Brocadia fulgida, 117 nucleotides long. The record is from Rfam. NCBI's taxonomy places the organism in Bacteria, Pseudomonadati, Planctomycetota, Candidatus Brocadiia, Candidatus Brocadiales, Candidatus Brocadiaceae.
GAAGGCAUGUCCUUCGAGAUCGAUUUUAGGAGUAGGUCUCAAACCGCCCUACGCUGCUGUGAUAAGGAGCCGGGGUAGGUUGGAUUGAAUGAAAUGAAACCCAACGAAUUUCAACGU